GAUGAACGCUGACAGAAUGCUUAACACAUGCAAGUCAACUUGAACUUCGGUUUGGGUGGCGGACGGGUGAGUAACGCGUAAAGAACUUGCCUCACAGAUAGGGACAACAUUUGGAAACGAAUGCUAAUACCUGAUAUUAUGAUUUUAGGGCAUCCUAGGAUUAUGAAAGCUAUAUGCGCUGUGAGAGAGCUUUGCGUCCCAUUAGCUAGUUGGAGAGGUAACGGCUCACCAAGGCGAUGAUGGGUAGCCGGCCUGAGAGGGUGAUCGGCCACAAGGGGACUGAGACACGGCCCUUACUCCUACGGGAGGCAGCAGUGGGGAAUAUUGGACAAUGGACCAAGAGUCUGAUCCAGCAAUUCUGUGUGCACGAUGAAGUUUUUCGGAAUGUAAAGUGCUUUCAGUUGGGAAGAAAAAAAUGACGGUACCAACAGAAGAAGUGACGGCUAAAUACGUGCCAGCAGCCGCGGUAAUACGUAUGUCACAAGCGUUAUCCGGAUUUAUUGGGCGUAAAGCGCGUCUAGGUGGUUAUGUAAGUCUGAUGUGAAAAUGCAGGGCUCAACUCUGUAUUGCGUUGGAAACUGUGUAACUAGAGUACUGGAGAGGUAAGCGGAACUACAAGUGUAGAGGUGAAAUUCGUAGAUAUUUGUAGGAAUGCCGAUGGGGAAGCCAGCUUACUGGACAGAUACUGACGCUAAAGCGCGAAAGCGUGGGUAGCAAACAGG
This 722-nucleotide ribosomal RNA is filed under the name uncultured Fusobacterium sp. Its description in RNAcentral is "bacterial SSU rRNA". It matches the Rfam family "Bacterial small subunit ribosomal RNA", at positions 28 to 776 of the family's 1533-position model. Lineage: Bacteria; Fusobacteriati; Fusobacteriota; Fusobacteriia; Fusobacteriales; Fusobacteriaceae. The record is from RNAcentral.